CCUCGGCUUCAUUUAACUAAUGAGCAAUUAUCAAGAGCUUGGCCGUAAUUCAUUAUUUUCAAAAUACUAAAAGUCCCUUAUGUGUGUCAAUUUCUUUGAGUAUUUCCAUCGAAUUGACAUUUUCAAGGGAUGCCAUAUGUUAACAAGUCCCUUCUUAAUUUAUCUUGCACUACUUUGACUCCUCUACCCUAGUCUCAAGCUUCUUUCAUAGCAUCUUCAUCUCUU
RNAcentral lists this long non-coding RNA (225 nucleotides) under Elaeis guineensis (African oil palm). RNAcentral's name for it is "long non-coding RNA (EGUI_LNC033666)". Lineage: Eukaryota; Viridiplantae; Streptophyta; Magnoliopsida; Arecales; Arecaceae. The record is from RNAcentral.